GAUUUAAUUUCUUGAGCUCUAGAACUCCUAUCCCUCGUGUUCUCAUUGUCUUCUCUGUCGAAUCUUCCUCCCAUAAUCGAAAAAUUAAUCUCGACGUCUGCUCGAGUUCGUCUUCUCCGUGUACGACUUUUUCUACCUCUUUUUCUGCUUCUCGUCAAUUCGUGGGCUUCCUGAACAGAUCGAAUAUUUUGCCAGACUAAGCUCGGAGAUUGUUAUUUGAAGUGAUUUGUUGAGCUUUUUCCAGAGAUGUAGACAACCUGUGAAGACUAUUUUGUACAACUUAUAUGUGAUGAAGGACAUACUCAACAUCAUUCCAUUGAGCAUGAUUGAAUUUACCAAGGGGGUAAAUAGAUUUAUGAAAAGUUUGUUUUAUUGUUGUUUAAGUGAGUUAAUGUUUUAAUGGCAAUUGCUUAUUUCAAAUGUUAAAUAUUGUGGAUUCAUUCUUUGUCGAAGAGGUUGAUGACAUUCACAACUCGUGGAACAGUUUUUUGUGGAUGGUAUGUGA
This is a long non-coding RNA of Prosopis cineraria, 505 nucleotides long. RefSeq lists it as uncharacterized. The record is from RefSeq and is a predicted model, not a curated record. NCBI's taxonomy places the organism in Eukaryota, Viridiplantae, Streptophyta, Magnoliopsida, Fabales, Fabaceae. The transcript is spliced from 3 exons.